CCCGCACUAUGGCCUCGGUCUCGGAGCUCGCCUGCAUCUACUCGGCCCUCAUCCUGCACGACGACUCAUCGUCGUGAGGUCACCGAGGAUAAGAUUAAUGCCCUCCUUCACGCAGCGGGUGUGAAUGUUGAACCCUUCUGGCCUGGCUUGUUUGCAAAGGCCCUGACCAACGUCAACAUGGGGAGCCUCAUCUGCGAUGUAGGAGCUGCUGGACCGGCCCCAGCAGCUGGCGCUGCGCCAGCCGGAGGUCCUGCUCCUCCUACCGCUGCUGCCCCAGCUGAGAAGAAAGUGGAAGCAAAGAAGGGCGAAUCUGAGGAGUCUGACGAUGACAUGGGCUUUGGUCUUUUUGACUAAACCUCUUCUAUAGGCUGCUCAAUAAAAAGCUGAACUCUUAAAAAAAAAAAAA
Molecule: non-coding RNA, 406 nt
Organism: Callorhinus ursinus (northern fur seal)
Lineage: Eukaryota; Metazoa; Chordata; Mammalia; Carnivora; Otariidae
Source: RefSeq, a predicted model, not a curated record